AGGACACAACAAUGACACGACUAUCUGAGAUGGAGAAUGCUUUGAGAAAGGCCAGUGGUCAGGUGGACCGUGCAAAUGCGGCAGUGCGACGACUUGAGACAGAAAAUGCAGAAAUUAGGGCAGAGAUGGAAGCUUUAAAGUUAAGUGCUUCCGAGUCUGUCACAACUUGUUUGGAGGUUGCAAAGAGGGAGAAAAAAAGUCUAAAGAGAUUACUGGCCUGGGAAAAGCAGAAAACAAAGUUACAGGAGCAGAUUGCAGAGGAGAAG
RNAcentral lists this unclassified non-coding RNA (266 nucleotides) under Hevea brasiliensis (rubber tree). Lineage: Eukaryota; Viridiplantae; Streptophyta; Magnoliopsida; Malpighiales; Euphorbiaceae. The record is from RNAcentral.